CCUACGGGGUGCUGCAGUGAGGAAUAUUGGUCAAUGGCCGCAAGGCUGAACCAGCCAAGUCGCGUGAGGGAUGACGGUCCUAUGGAUUGUAAACCUCUUUUGUCAGGGAGCAAAGGGCGCCACGUGUGGCGCUUUGCGAGUACCUGAAGAAAAAGCAUCGGCUAACUCCGUGCCAGCAGCCGCGGUAAUACGGAGGAUGCGAGCGUUAUCCGGAUUUAUUGGGUUAAAAGGGUGCGCAGGCGGAAUGUCAAGUCAGCGGUAAAAUUUCGGGGCUCAACCCCGUCGUGCCGUUGAAACUGGCGUUCUUGAGUGAGCGAGAAGUAUGCGGAAUGCGUGGUGUAGCGGUGAAAUGCAUAGAUAUCACGCAGAACUCCGAUUGCGAAGGCAGCAUACCGGCGCUCAACUGACGCUCAUGCACGAAAGCGUGGGUAUCGAACAGGAUUAGAUACCCGGGUAGUC
RNAcentral lists this ribosomal RNA (459 nucleotides) under uncultured bacterium. RNAcentral describes it as "partial 16S ribosomal RNA". It matches the Rfam family "Bacterial small subunit ribosomal RNA", at positions 338 to 795 of the family's 1533-position model. The record is from RNAcentral.